This is a non-coding RNA of Leptonychotes weddellii (Weddell seal), 526 nucleotides long. Lineage: Eukaryota; Metazoa; Chordata; Mammalia; Carnivora; Phocidae. The record is from RefSeq and is a predicted model, not a curated record.
CCUGGAUCACAGAAAGAACCCCGUGUAUAACUGGAGUCCUAAAAUCCAGGGUAUCAUCUUCAGUUCCAUCUUUUAUGGUGUAAUCAUCACCCAAAUUCCUGUCGGAUACUUGUCUGAGAAAUACUCCAUCAAGAAAAUGAUCGGCUCUGCAUUAUUCCUCAGCUCUCUACUUAGCCUGUUAAUGCCAAUGGCAGCUGAAGGUGGAGAAGCUUUCCUCCUGGCAUGCCGAGUAGUCCAGGGAGCAGCCCAGGGAUCGGUAUUCAUAGCUCAGCACGUCACGUGGGUCAAGUGGGCUCCUCCCUUGGAACGAGGCCGACUCACCUCCCUGAGUCUAUCAGGUAAUGACGUAGGGCCUAGAAUGUUUGAAUCCCGCUAUCAUCUUAUUCUAGCACGUUCUUCCUAGACCUGUGAAAGUUGUGUGUUUUGAAGUGUCCAGGGCUUUGGAAACCAUCUGCUCCAGCAUCCUUGCUUUAAAGAUGUGGAAACUUUCUAGAAUGAAGAAAAGGCUCCUUUACCUCAAACAACA